AUUGAACGCUGGCGGCAGGCCUAACACAUGCAAGUCGAGCGGAUGAAGGGAGCUUGCUCCUGGAUUCAGCGGCGGACGGGUGAGUAAUGCCUAGGAAUCUGCCUGGUAGUGGGGGAUAACGUCCGGAAACGGGCGCUAAUACCGCAUACGUCCUGAGGGAGAAAGUGGGGGAUCUUCGGACCUCACGCUAUCAGAUGAGCCUAGGUCGGAUUAGCUAGUUGGUGGGGUAAAGGCCUACCAAGGCGACGAUCCGUAACUGGUCUGAGAGGAUGAUCAGUCACACUGGAACUAGAACACGGUCCAGACUCCUACGGGAGGCAGCAGUGGGGAAUAUUGGACAAUGGGCGAAAGCCUGAUCCAGCCAUGCCGCGUGUGUGAAGAAGGUCUUCGGAUUGUAAAGCACUUUAAGUUGGGAGAAAGGGCAGUAAGUUAAUACCUUGCUGUUUUGACGUUACCAAAAGAAUAAGCACCGGCUAACUUCGU
This 483-nucleotide ribosomal RNA is filed under the name uncultured bacterium. Its description in RNAcentral is "partial 16S ribosomal RNA". It matches the Rfam family "Bacterial small subunit ribosomal RNA", at positions 30 to 506 of the family's 1533-position model. The record is from RNAcentral.